AGCGAACGCUGACGGCAGGCCUAACACAUGCAAGUCGAACGAAGUCUUCGGACUUAGUGGCGGACGGGUGAGUAACACGUGGGAACGUGCCUUUAGGUUCGGAAUAACUCAGGGAAACUUGUGCUAAUACCGAAUGUGCCCUUCGGGGGAAAGAUUUAUCGCCUUUAGAGCGGCCCGCGUCUGAUUAGCUAGUUGGUGAGGUAAAGGCGAACCAAGGCGACGAUCAGUAGCUGGUCUGAGAGGAUGAUCAGCCACAUUGGGACUGAGACACGGCCCAAACUCCUACGGGAGGCAGCAGUGGGGAAUCUUGCGCAAUGGGCGAAAGCCUGACGCAGCCAUGCCGCGUGAAUGAUGAAGGUCUUAGGAUUGUAAAAUUCUUUCACCGGGGACGAUAAUGACGGUACCCGGAGAAGAAGCCCCGGCUAACUUCGUGCCAGCCGCCGCGGUAG
Molecule: ribosomal RNA, 449 nt
Filed under: uncultured bacterium
Lineage: Bacteria
Description: partial 16S ribosomal RNA
Rfam family: Bacterial small subunit ribosomal RNA
Source: RNAcentral